CUUCUGCCCCACAGUGUGAUGAACAGUCCAUCUCUGAUAAAAAGAUACCAUUUCCUGGUCCCCUGAUGAGGGAUCUGACACAGAUCGAGGAGGUGUUAAGGUUUAUCCGGGUGACAUAUAAAGAGAGUUCACGCUCCCUGUGUAAUGCUGAGCAGCGUUAUUCCUAUUUCUUUUGGUUGAUUAUGGAGUGCUUCUGUGAACGAAAUAAACAAGUAAACAUGGCUGACAUUUCUGAUCUGCUCAAGAAUGGUUUCUGCCUUGUGAGUGAAAAG
This is a long non-coding RNA of Clarias gariepinus (North African catfish), 272 nucleotides long. RefSeq lists it as uncharacterized. Lineage: Eukaryota; Metazoa; Chordata; Actinopteri; Siluriformes; Clariidae. The transcript has 3 exons. The record is from RefSeq and is a predicted model, not a curated record.